This 819-nucleotide ribosomal RNA is filed under the name Vittaforma corneae. RNAcentral describes it as "SSU rRNA". It matches the Rfam family "Microsporidia small subunit ribosomal RNA", at positions 304 to 1166 of the family's 1311-position model. The record is from RNAcentral. Lineage: Eukaryota; Fungi; Microsporidia; Nosematidae.
CCACUCUUUGCAGGAGGCAGUUAUGAGACGUGAAGAUGAGUAUCUUGUAAAGAGGGAUAGGAGAAUUGGAGGGCAAGUUUGGUGCCAGCAGCCGCGGUAAUACCGACUCCAAGAGUGUGUAUGAGAGAUGCUGCAGUUAAAAAGUCCGUAGUCAUAGAAGGGCAAAGAGAGAUGCGAGGUCUCACAGUGCGAUGAUGGAGGAGCCGAUGGGGAACAUAGUAUACCAGGGCGAGAGAUGAAAUGCCAAGACCCCUGGUGGACUGAGCGAGGCGAAGGCGAUGUUCUUGUAGGCAUUCGGUGAUCAAGGACGAAGGCUGGAGUAUCGAAAGUGAUUAGAUACCGCAGUAGUUCCAGCAGUAAAAGAUGCCGACAUGCUCAUUGGACACAGUGGGCAGGGAGAAAUCUUAGAGUUCGGGCUCUGGGGAUAGUAUGCUCGCAAGGGUGAAAAUUAAAGAAAUUGACGGAGCUACACCACAAGGAGUGGAUUGUGCGGCUUAAUUUGACUCAACGCGAGGAAACUUACCAGGGCCAAGUAUUGUGUAGAAACGAGCAAUACAGGAGUGGUGCAUGGUCGUUGGAAAUUGAUGGGAUGACUUUGACCUUAAAUGGUUGAAUGAGUGAGAUCUUUUGGACAUGUUCCGCACGGAACAGGAAGGAAAAGGCUAUAACAGAUCCGAGAUGCCCUCAGAUGCCCUGGGCUGCACGCGCAAUACAAUAGCAGGUAGAGAGAGAGACAGGAAGGUGCUCAGAUGGACUAUGUGCUGUAAGGCACAUACGAAAGAGGAAUUCCUAGUAAGUGUGUAUCAACAAUGGAUAUUG